UACGAAGGGUGCAAGCGUUAUUCGGAUUUAUUGGGCGUAAAGGGUGCGUAGGCGGUAUGUUAAGUCAACUGUUAAAUUUCCCAGCUUAACUGGGAGCAAGCGGUAGAUACUGGCACACUAGAGGAUGGAAGAGAGAAGUGGAAUUCUCGGAGUAGCGGUAAAAUGCGUAGAUCUCGAGAGGAACACCAAUGGCGAAGGCAGCUUCUUGGUCCAUACCUGACGCUGAGGCACGAAAGCGUGGGGAGCAAACAGG
Molecule: ribosomal RNA, 253 nt
Filed under: uncultured bacterium
Lineage: Bacteria
Description: partial 16S ribosomal RNA
Rfam family: Bacterial small subunit ribosomal RNA
Source: RNAcentral